GAGGCGGACAAUCGCUGGCUCAAGGCUGGAAACGGCGGGCGAGAGGAAAGUCUGGACUUCCUAGGAACAAGAUGACGGCUAACGGCCGCCCGACGUGAGUCGAGGGAGAGUGCCACAGAAAAUAAACCGCCCUGUCCAAGGCAGGGUAAGGGUGAAACGGCGAGGUAAGAGCUCACCGCUUGCUUGGCAACAAGUCAAGGUCUCGGUAAACCCCAUCUGAAGCAAGACCAAGAAAGUGACGGCGCUUUGGUGCGCAAGGUAUUGUUCCUAUACCGUCCAAUAGGUAGGUCGCAGGAAAGUUGGAGUAAUCCAACUUCUAGAUGAAUGAUUGUCGAUUACAAAAUCCAGCUUAUAGCCUCUCUUA
Molecule: RNase P RNA, 364 nt
Filed under: human gut metagenome
Description: Bacterial RNase P class A
Rfam family: Bacterial RNase P class A
About the family: Ribonuclease P (RNase P) is a ubiquitous endoribonuclease, found in archaea, bacteria and eukarya as well as chloroplasts and mitochondria.
Source: RNAcentral